GGUUAAGCGACUAAGCGUACACGGUGGAUGCCCUGGCAGUCAGAGGCGAUGAAGGGCGUGCUAAUCUGCGAUAAGCGCCGGUAAGGUGAUAUGAACCGUUAUAACCGGCGAUACCCGAAUGGGGAAACCCAGUGUGAUUCGUCACACUAUCAUUAACUGAAUCCAUAGGUUAAUGAGGCGAACCGGGGGAACUGAAACAUCUAAGUACCCCGAGGAAAAGAAAUCAACCGAGAUUC
Molecule: ribosomal RNA, 236 nt
Filed under: Salmonella enterica
Lineage: Bacteria; Pseudomonadati; Pseudomonadota; Gammaproteobacteria; Enterobacterales; Enterobacteriaceae
Also listed under: 1 other name
Description: partial 23S ribosomal RNA
Rfam family: Bacterial large subunit ribosomal RNA
Source: RNAcentral